Molecule: ribosomal RNA, 322 nt
Filed under: uncultured eukaryote
Lineage: Eukaryota
Description: partial 18S ribosomal RNA
Rfam family: Eukaryotic small subunit ribosomal RNA
Source: RNAcentral
CCCUUAGAUGUUCUGGGCCGCACGCGCGCUACACUGAUGCAUUCAACGAGCCUAUCCUUGACCGACAGGUCCGGGUAAUCUUUGAAUCUGCAUCGUGACGGGGAUAGAUUAUUGCAAUUAUUAAUCUUCAACGAGGAAUGCCUAGUAGGCGCGAGUCAUCAGCUCGCAUUGAUUACGUCCCUGCCCUUUGUACACACCGCCCGUCGCACCUACCGAUUGAAUGUUUCGGUGAAGAUUCCGGAUAGGACUUUUUUGAUUUAUUUCAAUUUUGUCUUAAAAGCUAUCUAAACCUCAACAUUUAGAGGAAGGUGAAGUCGUAACA